CGUAAGCACCUCUCGGCCAGGGUGAGGCCAAUGGAGUAGGCGGGGCAUUUUGCGUGCUACAUUCUAAGAAGUAUUGGUUGUGAUGUGAUGGGAAGAACACAGUCAGUCCUGUAUACAGCACUAAAGCUGAUGAAUGAUCUAUCUUACACUAGCCAAAGUGAAGUCUGAAAGAUGUGAAGAAAUGCAGUACAUUUGUACAUUGGCACAUUGCCCUGCAGAGGACUGGCAACACUCCAGAAAUGAUGGAGACAGGAUACAUCAACCUGUAUCACUGAAGAUGAUGUGGAGCAGAGCCUUUGUGGUCCUAAGAAACAUGUAUAAGAUAAAAACUUUUGUGGUUUUUCAA
This 346-nucleotide long non-coding RNA is filed under the name Homo sapiens (human). RNAcentral's name for it is "HSALNT0348570". The record is from RNAcentral. Lineage: Eukaryota; Metazoa; Chordata; Mammalia; Primates; Hominidae.